GCUGCGGUGUCCGAGUGGUUAAGGAGAUGGACUUGAAAUCCUUUGGGCUCUGCCCGCACAGGUUCGAAUCUUGUCCGUAGUG
This 82-nucleotide transfer RNA is filed under the name Procambarus clarkii (red swamp crayfish). Its description in RNAcentral is "transfer RNA serine (anticodon UGA)". It matches the Rfam family "tRNA". From Rfam's summary of the family: Transfer RNA (tRNA) molecules are approximately 80 nucleotides in length. Lineage: Eukaryota; Metazoa; Arthropoda; Malacostraca; Decapoda; Cambaridae. The record is from RNAcentral.